Molecule: long non-coding RNA, 654 nt
Filed under: Eucalyptus grandis
Lineage: Eukaryota; Viridiplantae; Streptophyta; Magnoliopsida; Myrtales; Myrtaceae
Description: long non-coding RNA (EGRA_LNC005135)
Source: RNAcentral
UAAUUUUAAAUUUUAUUUUUCCUGCAGACAAAGUUCAAGCAUCAAGAAUACGAUCUGUGUGUUUAGAAGUUCACAUCUUCAUCUCACACUCAUCCAGCUUACAGUAUCAUGUAUAGUUGUCCGAGUUUAAAUGCUCUUUGCCGACAUAUAAAGGCAAAAAAGAUUAAAUAAAUUCAAAUAAAACUAAUGUUUGAUCAUCCUGUCAAUCACCCCUCGGUCAUUCAAAAAGAAAGCCACAAAUUGGGCGAACGUAAUGGUCAAAAUAAGCUUGUGCACCAGAAAGGCUGACCACCAGUAGUACCACAAUGUCUAAUAGCCAGAAUUCUUAAGACCCGUUGCCAAAAUGUUGCAUGAAAAACUUCGUUUGCACACUAAAGCAGUUAACCAAGAUUACUCAACCACGUAGAUGUAUUUUUUCUAUAUGUUAUCAGACUUUUUCAUCAAGAACAUCGUUGAACGAAAGGUCUAGUGAUGUGCAACAAGAGCAGUCGAGAAAAAAAUCAUACCAGGAAUAACUCAACAAUGGCAGCACUAUGAGUUCUUUUUGCUUUCUGCAUCACGAUUCCUCCAAGGAUUCAGAGCUUCUCUGACAGCCUGAGCUUCCGGCGAAUUCUCCCAAGCCCGCUUCUCUGACUCCAAUUCGGUCACUUUAUC